UAGAUAGAUUUGAUGAGGUUCAGGAAUGUUCCCUCUAUCCCUAGACUUUGAAGCGUUUUAAUCAAGAACAGAUGCUGAAUUUUGUAAAAUGCUUUUUCUGCAUCAAUUGAGAGGACCAUGUAGUUCUUUUCUCUUCUCAUAUUAAUUUGUUGUAUCACAUUGAUUGAUUUGCAAAUGUUGAACCAUCCUUGUAGCCCAGGGAUGAGUCCCACCUGAUCAUGGUAGAUAAUCUUUUUAAUGUGCUGUUGGAUCCUGUUGGCUAGGAUCUUGUUGAGAAUCUUAGCAUCCAUAUUCAUCAGUGAUAUUGGUCUAAAAUUCUCUUUUUUGGUAGGGUCUUUGCCUGGUUUGGGGAUCAGGGUAAUGCUGGCUUCAGAGAAAGAGUCUGGAAGUGUUUCUUCCGCUUCAAUUUCUGAAAAAGCUUCAGGAGAAUAGGUGUUAUUUCUUCUUUGAAUGUUUGGUAGAAUUCCCCAGGGAAUCCAUCAGGUCCUGGGCUCUUGUUUUUUGGAGGUUUUUGAUCACUGCUUCAAUCUCGUUAUUAGAUAUCAGUCUAUUCAGGUUGUCGAUUUCUUCCUGGUUCAAUUUUGGUAGUUUAUAGUUUUCCAGGAAUGCAUCCAUUUCAUCUAAGUUGCUAAGCUUAUUGGCAUAUAACUGUUGAUAAUAACUUCUGAUGAUUGUUCCUACUUCCUUGGUGUUCGUUGUGAUCUCUCCCUUUUCAUUCAUAAUUUUAUGAAUUUGGGCUUUCUCUCUUUUCUUUUGGAUUAGUGUGGCCAAUGGUUUAUCGAUCUUAUCAAUUCUUUCAAAAAACCAGAUUCUAGUUUCAUUGAUACGUUCUACUGUAUCUCUGGUUUCUGCCUCAUUAAUCUCAGCUCUAAUCUUGAUGAUUUCCCUUCUUAUGUGUGGAGUUGGUUUGACUUGUUGAUUCUCUAGUUCUUUAAGGUGUAGAGACAGCUGGUGUAUUCUGGAUUUUUCAAUUUUUUUGAGGGAGGCUUGGAUGGCUAUGUAUUUCCCCCUUAGGACUGCCUUUGCUGUAUCCCAUAGGUUUUGGACAGAAGUGUCUUCAUUCUCAUUGGUUUCCAUGAAUUGUUUCAGUUCUUCUUUGAUCUCCUGGUUGCUCAAGCAUUCUUAACCAAGGUGGUAUUUAGCUUCCAGUUGUUUGCGUUCCUUCUGAACUUUUCCUUGUGAUUGAGCUCCAGUUUCAAAGCAUUAUGAUCUGAGAAUAUGCAGGGAAUAAUCUCAGUCUUUUGGUAUCGGUUGAGUCCUGAUUUGUGACCCAGUAUGUGGUCUAUUCUGGAGAAGGUUCCGUUUGCACUUGAGAAGAAUGAGUAUUCUGUUGUUAGGGUUGAAUGUUCUGUAUAUAUCUAUGAGGUCCAUCUGGUCCAAUGUGUCAUUCAAUGCUCUUGUUUCUUUACUGAUUUUCUGCUUCGAUGAUCUGUCUAUUUCUGAGAGAGGUGUGUUAAGAUCUCCUACGAUUAGUGUAUUCAUAUCAAUAUGACUCUUUAUCUUGAUUAACUUAAUUCUUAAUUCUUACUUAAUUCUUAAGUAAUUGGCUGCCCCCAUAUUGGGAGCAUAGAUAUUUACAAUUGUUAGAUCACCUUGUUGAAUAGUCCCUUUAAGGGUUAUGUAGUGUCCUUCUGUAUCUCUGACUACAGUCUUUAGUUUAAAGUCUAAUUUAUCUGAUGUGAAAAUCGCUACCCCAGCCUUCUUUUGAGGCCCACUGGCAUGAAAGAUGCUUCUCCAUCCCUUCACUUUCAGUCUGCGUGUAUCUUUAGGUUCAAAAUGGGUCUCUUGUAGAAAAGAAGGAUGGGUCCUGUCAUUUUGUCCAAUCUACAACCCUGUGUCGUUUUAUGGGUGCAUUUAGGCCAUUCACAUUGAGAGUGAUUAUUGAUAGAUACGUUUUUAUUGACCUCGAGUUACCUUUGAAGUCUUUCUUUCUGUAGACUGUCUCUAUAUUUCUGUUCAAUGCUAUUCUUGGGAUUUUUCCUCUUUUAUAGAACCCCCCCUUAAUAUUUCCUGCAGUGUCGGCUUGGUGGAUGCAUAGUCUUUUAAGGCUUGCCAGUCUUGGAAACUCUUUAUCUCUCCAUCCAUUUUGAAUGUCAGUCUUGCUGGAUAAAGUAUUCUUGGCUGCAUGUUCUUCUCAUUUAGUGCUCUGAAUAUAUCUUGCCAGCCUUUUCUGGCUUGCCAGGUCUCUGUGGAUAGGUCUGAUGUUAUUCUGAUGGGCUUCCCUCUGUAAGUAAGGAGCCUCUUUGCCCUGGCAGCACUCAAGAGAUUAUACCUACAAUUAUAAUUCCUCAAUUUGACUAUCAGGUAUCGUUAUUAUUAUUAUUAUUUUUUGAAUGUAUAAUCUUUGGUGGAGACCGUUCAGCCUCUAGUACAUGAAUGCUAGUUCCAUUUGCGAGAUUGGGAAAAUUUUCAUGAAGGACUUGUUCCAUUAUAUCUUCUAGACUUCUUUCUUUCUCCUCCCCUUCAGGGAUUCCAAUAAUUCUGACGUUGGAAUGCUUCAUGGCAUCAUUUAUUUCUCUGAUUCUGUUUUCGUGGUUUCUAAGCUGUUUGUUCCAGGCUUACUCCUGAUCCUUUCUCUCUAUCUGUUUGUCCUCCAGAUCACUAAUUCUAUCUUCUGUCUCAGUUACCCUAGCUUUGAGAGAGUUUAGAUUAGAUUGGAACUCAUUGAGAGCAUUGUGAACAUCCUCCCUGGUAGCUUUAAGCUCCGCCCUAACAUUGUGAACAUCCUGUCUGGUCGCUUUCAGUUCAGCCCUAAUCAAUUCCGUUUGGUCAUUCAUGGCUUUCUCCAACCUAGCUAUUGCAUGGAUAAUUGUUAGCCUGAAUUCUCUUUCCGACAUACUGUCUAUGUUGGUAGUCGUUAGCUCUGUUGCAGAAGGUCCAUCCUCUGUAUUUUUCUUCUGUUGUGCAUUCCUCCUCCUAGUCAUUUUGGUGGGAGAUGACUGAACAGAUGUAGCUGGAGGUAUCAACUGUGGCGCAGUCAAGGUGCACCCUGGAACACUUCUGAGCAAUCAGGAUUCCCCACCCAAAUGAGAGACAAAAGAAAAGAAAAAGAAAAAAGAAAAAGAAGAGAGAGAGAGAGAGAGAGAGAGAAGAGACAGGAAAGAAAGGGAAGAUGAAAAAGAAGGUUCAGCCCAGAUGGGCCCCAAGGCUUUCUACAAGUAUAAGAGAGUUACAGAAUUUCAAAGUCUUACUGCAACAAGGCUUUUCUAUGUCUAAUUAGAGACAUAAUCUGACUGUGUGAAGCCUUUUGGUCUUGGACAUUCAGCAGAAGGAGACUAAUCUUCAAAGACUUGAAGAAGGAAUUCUGAACUCUUAAAGAGAAAAUUCAAAUAUUCACUUGAAUAUUUAUGAUUUUUAAUAGAUUGUCAAUUAGAGAUAUUUAUAAAUGAAGUAUAUACUUUUAAAACAUGUAAGUUAUACUAAUUCUGUGUUUAAUUUCAUGUUUCCAUCUGUUGAAUAUUCUGCUGUUCUGUUUGUUUAGAAUUGUUAUUUUCUUAUUCUGUUCUUUACUUCCAGUUGUCAGACUUAAAUUACCAUCCUAAUAAACACUGUUAGCAGUCUGUUAUGGAAAAGGAGAGCUAGAGAACAAAUAUGGCUUCGGAUUAGGACCAGUGAUAAAAAUUUCUCAGUGACUUUUGUGUUCUUAGCCUUGCCUGAUGCCACCUUCUGAAGGCAGAAGUGUCAGUGUGGUGAACGGUCCUUUCAGUGUGUGGUUAUGGAGGGACUAAAGAAUCCCUAGGACUUCAACUUCAGUUUCAUGGGUUUUCAGUUAAGAUUUUUAGUUGCUGCUCUUCUUGCUAUUUUGUUUUGGUCUAAAGGCCCUGCUUCAGUAAAGGCGAAUGUGUACUGUCCCUUCCCUUAGCUGCCCAGCCAGACAGCCCAUGUGUGUUGUGGGCUGCUCCAGAGGGUUCUUUAUUUAAAACCCAUGCUAUGUAUCCAUUUCUUUUGAUUUUGCAUUUCUUUGCCCUGUCUCCAAUUUUAGAAAAUUUUUGUUUAGUUUGACAAAAAAAUUUGCAUAAAUAUGUAAGUUUCACUUUGAUAAAAUUUGAAUGAAUAUAUGGACUUAUAAUGCCAUUUUAAAACAGUAUACAUAAAAUUUACCUUUUUAAGUGCUUGGGUUAUUUUUUAAGGGUUUUAUUUUAGAAUACAAUCUAUUUAAUCUUCUCUCAACCUGAAUUUCUUCGGCAGUUAUUUUAACAGGUAGAGGAGUUCAGGGCUCGUGAAGCUUCCCCUCUCCCUACCUUUCUUUUCAUUUUGGUUCAUCUUAUAUAAAUGGACUUUGUGUGACUUGUACCAACAGAUGACCUUCAUGUCCUAAGCUCAUUUUCUAAAGCUGCGAUUUAAAUAUCCUCCAAUAUUUAAAAUAUUCUUUUAAAAGCUGUUUAGAGAUAGAAUGUGAUUAAUUUGGAAGGAGCCAUCUUUGGAGAAGUAACGCGGGUACCAAACCUCAUUUCUCUUUCGACUCUUCAGUCUUUUAUGAAGUAAGUGCUCUUAAACCCACACCUUCCCUGCCAGAGUCUGAAGCGUGUUAUGCCAUGACUUAGUGGUGUAUUUUAAACUGUCUUUAGUCGGCUCAACCCUCUUUUAAAAAUAUCUGGUCAUCCCUUGGAGGUUUAUGUUUGAAACGUGUAAAGUCUCACUAAUUAUUUUCUUGCCCAAUUUCAACCUUUAUAGACCCAGGUUUUUUUGUUGUUGUUGUUGAUGGUGGUGACUUUUUGUUUGUUUGUUAAGUUGAAUAAAACAGGCUUGAUUGGAGCCUUCUCCAUUUCUUCAUUUUUAGGGAUGUAAAUAUUGUGUGUAGUAGAGGGGAACCUUAAGGUAAACUUGUCUAAAAAGUGAAUAAGUAAUCUUGCUCAUAAAUUAAAAAUAAUUAUUCUUAGUGUUCAUUCAGAGUUUAAUAAAAUGUGAAAGCUUUGCACUUUGUCUAUUAUUACUGUAAGUUUAAAAAUCUUUUUGGUAGUGUUACUUCAUUGUUCCCUCAGUCAAAAGCUAUUAUUUAAAUUCUGUUAACCAGAGAAAAUCCUUGGUCAUUUCCAAUGACUGUUGGAUUUUAUAUUGUUUGUUUGUUUGUUUUGUUUUUUCUUUACUGUGAUUUGUUUCAAGCUUAGGAAAAAAAUGUAUAUUAGAAUGAGUUCUAGGAAACUAAAAGGUUAAUAUUUAAAGUUCUUCUCAAGUGUUUAAUGAAUUUUUGCACCUCUGAGAAAAUAAACAAAUGAAGUAUUCUUAAGCUGAAAUUUGAUUAACUUGAUUUUACCACAAAUUGGAUUGUGGGGGGGGGGGGAAGCCUACAUUUUUGUGUCUGUGUGUAUUUCUUAAAUGAUUGUAUAGGUGUAGGACUGUUUUGUAGCCUGGUGGUACUGUAUGAUCUUUGUGAUAUAACCUGUUUUUCUAUGUCCCAGACCUUUUGUCAUGCAGAGACACUAGAGGACUGACUGCCUUGUACAAACGCUUGGCUGGUAAUUCCUCUCUCAUUUUGUCUUUAUCUCAUCACCUAAUUUCAAAGUCCAGCACUUGAUAAUAUAACUGACAGAAAUGAUUGUACCAGCUGACAGAGUCAUGAAAAUGAAGGAAAAGAAUUCCUUCCUUCAAUGGCAUGAGUUUUUUUUUUUCCCUUAAGUGGCAUCUAUGUAAGUUAGAAAUAUUAUGUAUUAAAAUUGGUGAAAUUUGAA
Mustela lutreola (European mink) is the source of this 5669-nucleotide long non-coding RNA. RefSeq lists it as uncharacterized. The record is from RefSeq and is a predicted model, not a curated record. Lineage: Eukaryota; Metazoa; Chordata; Mammalia; Carnivora; Mustelidae. The transcript has 2 exons.